RNAcentral lists this non-coding RNA (237 nucleotides) under uncultured Mallomonas. Lineage: Eukaryota; Synurophyceae; Synurales; Mallomonadaceae. The record is from RNAcentral.
AGAGAGAAAGAGAAAGAAAUCAGAUUACAGAAAGUGGUUUUAUAGGCUCCUCAAUAAUGCCUUCUUCUCUCUCUCAUUCGCCAUCUCUCUCUCUCUCUCAUUCACCAUCUCUCUCUCACGCUUAUUCAGGUGCUAUAAGUGUACAAUCUGCCUCUUCCACAUCACAUUAUAUAUCUAUGAAUGAUAGUAUAUCUACUAGUAUUAAUAAAGACAAUGAAAUAGAGAAAGAAAGAGAGA